RNAcentral lists this ribosomal RNA (468 nucleotides) under uncultured bacterium. RNAcentral's name for it is "partial 16S ribosomal RNA". It matches the Rfam family "Bacterial small subunit ribosomal RNA", at positions 28 to 507 of the family's 1533-position model. The record is from RNAcentral.
GACGAACGCUGGCGGCGUGCUUAACACAUGCAAGUCGAACGGAAAGGCCCUGCUUUUGUGGGGUGCUCGAGUGGCGAACGGGUGAGUAACACGUGAGUAACCUGCCCUUGACUUUGGGAUAACUUCAGGAAACUGGGGCUAAUACCGGAUAGGAGCUCCUGCUGCAUGGUGGGGGUUGGAAAGUUUCGGCGGUUGGGGAUGGACUCGCGGCUUAUCAGCUUGUUGGUGGGGUAGUGGCUUACCAAGGCUUUGACGGGUAGCCGGCCUGUGCGGGUGACCGGCCACAUUGGGACUGAGAUACGGCCCAGACUCCUACGGGAGGCAGCAGGGGGGAAUAUUGCACAAUGGGCGGAAGCCUGAUGCAGCAACGCCGCGUGCGGGAUGACGGCCUUCGGGUUGUAAACCGCUUUCGCCUGUGACGAAGCGUGAGUGACGGUAAUGGGUAAAGAAGCACCGGCUAACUACGUG